RNAcentral lists this ribosomal RNA (313 nucleotides) under uncultured Hyphomicrobiales bacterium. RNAcentral describes it as "bacterial SSU rRNA". It matches the Rfam family "Bacterial small subunit ribosomal RNA", at positions 20 to 359 of the family's 1533-position model. Lineage: Bacteria; Pseudomonadati; Pseudomonadota; Alphaproteobacteria; Hyphomicrobiales. The record is from RNAcentral.
UGGCUCAGAACGAACACUGGCGGCAGGCCUAACACAUGCAAGUCGAGCGCCGUAGCAAUACGGAGCGGCAGACGGGAGAGUAACACGUGGGAACGUGCCCUUCAGUUCGGAACAACCCAGGGAAACUUGGGCUAAUACCGGAUACGUCCGUAAGGAGAAAGAUUUAUCGCUGAAGGAUCGGCCCGCGUCUGAUUAGCUAGUUGGUGGGGUAAUGGCCCACCAGGGCGACGAUCAGUAGCUGGUCUGAGAGGACGACCAGCCACACUGUUGUUCUGAGACACGGGAAAGACUCCUACGGGAGUCAGCAGUGGGG